AGCUCCAAUAGCAUAUAUUAAAGUUGUUGCGGUUAAAAAGCUCGUAGUUUGAUUUCUGCUGAGGACGAUCGGUCCGCCCUCUGGGUGAGUAUCUGGCUCGGCCUUUGCAUCUUCUUGAAGAACGUGACUGCACUUGACUGUGUGGUGCGGUAUGCAAGACUUACUUUGGGGAAAUUCUAAUGUUUGAAGUAGGCACAUGCCUUGAAUACAUUAGCAUGGAAUAAUGAGAGAGGACCUUGGUUCUAUUUUGUUGGUUUCUAGAAUUGAGGUACUGAUUAAUAGGGAUCGUUGGGGGCAUUCGUAUUUAAUUGUCAGAGGUAAAAUUCUUGGAUCUGUUAAAGACGGACUACUGCAAAAGCAUCUGCCAAGGAUGUUUUCA
RNAcentral lists this ribosomal RNA (379 nucleotides) under uncultured eukaryote. RNAcentral's name for it is "SSU rRNA". It matches the Rfam family "Eukaryotic small subunit ribosomal RNA", at positions 587 to 972 of the family's 1831-position model. The record is from RNAcentral.